GCAUGAACUUAGCCGCCCAACAACACGGAGCUUUGGUGACUGUCUUUGAGAGAAGCGAAAGCAAGUGUUUGCCUAACUUGCAGGUCGUAAUUUCAGUCGAGUGUACCGUAGUUUGUUAAGCAUGGCAACCAAUUCCAACUCCAGCGCUGGAAUUGAAGUUCACAACACUCUUCAAUCUAUCUGCUACAAGCGCGGCUUCCUACAGCUACUCGACCAGAGAAAGCUUCCUCUCGAAACUGUCUAUCUGGAUAUCCGAGAUGCAUCAGAUGGAUGGUCUGCCAUACGGGAGAUGGUGGUCCGUGGAGCACCUGCUAUUGCUAUUGCAGCAGCCCUCUCUCUUGCAGUAGAAGUGUUUGCUAACUUGGACCAUUUUAAUGGGACUUCUGAGGACGCUGCCUCUUUCCUUUUCAAGAAAUUGGAAUAUCUCGUUUCGAGCCGACCUACAGCAGUGAAUCUUUCAGAUGCAGUAACGAAACUUAAAGAAGUUAUAUCUAAGACUGCUGCUACUGCUUCAGAAUCCAAGGAUGUUUUUCAGGCUUACAUAGAAGCUGCUGAAAUUAUGCUUGAAGAUGAUGUUGCUUCAAACAAAGCAAUUGGGUCUCAUGGAGCAACUUUUAUUCAGAAUCAACUGAAAAACUCUGACUGGCUUUCUAUUCUGACCCAUUGCAAUACUGGCAGCCUUGCAACAGCUGGGUAUGGUACUGCUCUAGGAGUGAUUCGUGCACUUCAUACUGAAGGAGUGUUAGAGAGGGCCUACUGCACAGAAACGCGUCCUUUCAAUCAAGGAUCUAGACUCACAGCUUUUGAGUUGGUGCAUGACAAAAUACCUGCUACUCUUAUAGCGGACUCUGCUGCAGCUACAUUAAUGAAAGAUGGUCGAGUGAGUGCUGUAAUUGUUGGAGCAGAUCGUGUGGCUGCAAAUGGAGAUACUGCUAACAAGAUUGGGACCUACAGCCUAGCCUUAUGUGCAAUGCAUCAUAACAUUCCAUUCUAUGUUGCUGCACCGCUGACCUCCAUUGAUUUAUCCCUUUCUUCUGGGAAACAAAUUAUUAUAGAGGAAAGAUCACCUAAAGAAUUAUUAAAUUCACGUGGAGGACUUGGAGAGCAAGUUGCUGCACCUGGGAUUUCUGUCUGGAACCCAGCUUUUGAUGUUACCCCUGCAAAAUUGAUAAGUGGUAUCAUAACAGAAAAGGUUCUCCCCCCACCCCCUCUCUUUCCGUUUAUAUACACGACUUCAAAAAUAAUGGAAAAGAUAAGAUUAUUUGAUGGAUUUAUAUCUGAUGAUUUGUGUUCUGUAAGCAGGGGGUCAUCACUAAGAUAAAAAAUGAUGAUUUUGACAUUGAGAAUUUUGUAAAAGGGGCAGCUGGGCAGUCUGUUGCAUAGGAGAGACAUCUGCUGCUGAGCAGAAUGGAUGGUAUGCCAAAGUGGUCAGCAUUUUUAUCAGCACGUCAUAUAGCUGCUAAUAUCAAGGGCAUAUACCCUUUGAAAGAAUGCUGGAAUAAGCCUUCUGUGAUGUCUUGAGUGUUAUUGUAAUAAUUGUAACUUGCUUGUAAAGCCAAGACCUUUUGUUGGGUAUUUUUGGCGAAGAUAAUAAGGGUGCCCAUUUUGCUCUCAUCUUAUAUAUAUUAAUUAAAGAGUGGUUUUAGUUGUAUUUGUGAAUGGAUCAUGUUCCUUCUCCUAUGCAGUAUGGAACUAGCCUAAAUUAAGAAUUCUAGAAAAGCCUCUCUUCAACAUCAAUGCCAAAACAC
This 1748-nucleotide unclassified non-coding RNA is filed under the name Hevea brasiliensis (rubber tree). The record is from RNAcentral. Lineage: Eukaryota; Viridiplantae; Streptophyta; Magnoliopsida; Malpighiales; Euphorbiaceae.